This 429-nucleotide ribosomal RNA is filed under the name bacterium. RNAcentral's name for it is "partial 16S ribosomal RNA". It matches the Rfam family "Bacterial small subunit ribosomal RNA", at positions 355 to 776 of the family's 1533-position model. The record is from RNAcentral.
UAGGGAAUCUUCGGCAAUGGGGGCAACCCUGACCGAGCAACGCCGCGUGAGUGAAGAAGGUUUUCGGAUCGUAAAGCUCUGUUGUAAGAGAAGAACGUGUGUGUGAGUGGAAAGUUCACACAGUGACGGUAACUUACCAGAAAGGGACGGCUAACUACGUGCCAGCAGCCGCGGUAAUACGUAGGUCCCGAGCGUUGUCCGGAUUUAUUGGGCGUAAAGCGAGCGCAGGCGGUUUAAUAAGUCUGAAGUUAAAGGCAGUGGCUUAACCAUUGUUCGCUUUGGAAACUGUUAAACUUGAGUGCAGAAGGGGAGAGUGGAAUUCCAUGUGUAGCGGUGAAAUGCGUAGAUAUAUGGAGGAACACCGGUGGCGAAAGCGGCUCUCUGGUCUGUAACUGACGCUGAGGCUCGAAAGCGUGGGGAGCAAACAGG